RNAcentral lists this ribosomal RNA (497 nucleotides) under uncultured bacterium. RNAcentral describes it as "partial 16S ribosomal RNA". It matches the Rfam family "Bacterial small subunit ribosomal RNA", at positions 28 to 507 of the family's 1533-position model. The record is from RNAcentral.
GAUGAACGCUGGCGGCGUGCCUAAUACAUGCAAGUCGAGCGAACAGACGAGGAGCUUGCUCCUCUGACGUUAGCGGCGGACGGGUGAGUAACACGUGGAUAACCUACCUAUAAGACUGGGAUAACUUCGGGAAACCGGAGCUAAUACCGGAUAAUAUAUUGAACCGCAUGGUUCAAUAGUGAAAGACGGUUUUGCUGUCACUUAUAGAUGGAUCCGCGCCGCAUUAGCUAGUUGGUAAGGUAACGGCUUACCAAGGCAACGAUGCGUAGCCGACCUGAGAGGGUGAUCGGCCACACUGGAACUGAGACACGGUCCAGACUCCUACGGGAGGCAGCAGUAGGGAAUAUUCCGCAAUGGGCGAAAGCCUGACGGAGCAACGCCGCGUGAGUGAUGAAGGUCUUAGGAUCGUAAAACUCUGUUAUUAGGGAAGAACAAAUGUGUAAGUAACUAUGCACGUCUUGACGGUACCUAAUCAGAAAGCCACGGCUAACUACGUG